CCUGCUUUCACACCUCAGUUAAUGAAUAUGCCCCUGACCUUAUCCUAAUAGGUGAAUCGAUGACACAGGCAAGCAGAGUCGCCCGUCCUGCCGUCGCCGCUCAUUCUUCUUGCCGCCAUCACCGCCGCACGUACUCGUGCUUGUCGUCGCCGGCACGCCCGCCCGCCUUCUCCCGCUCACCUUGCAGCUCUCCUGCAUCGCCAUGUCGCAGGCAUCAUCCUCAGGCUUGCGCACGUGAGGGGUCACUAAAGGUAGGGUUAGGCUGCACCCGCAGCUUGCACCUGCACCGCAGCCACUUGCUGUUGUUCCCGCGCCCGUGAUCGACGAGGUGACCGGGAUACCGUUGAUCAUUUGCCCCUACUGUAAGAACGUGAGGUUGAUUGUGCUAACCACAGGAACUCUCGCAAAAACCUUGGCAGGCGUUUUUUCAAAUGCCCAAGGAAUUAUCAAAAUAUAAGUGGAUUUCUCCUUUGGUGGAUUUGGUGGCCAAUUAAUCAAAUUGAUGGGUAGAAUUGCAUGGUUGUGUCUUCUGCAGGAUCCUACAUCAUGCUCUAUAUGUAAGUUCGAGGACGAGUACGAGGCGUAUCUACGCGAAGAAGGAAAUUUAGGUUCAACCUCUUUGCUGGAUGCCGUACCAGAGCUGCCGCAAGAAUUUGACGAGAUGAAGGAGCGUGUAGCAAUCAGAGAAUCUAGAAUUAAUUGGUGUUGUAUUGUUCUAGGAUCUUGAACUUAUUUGUUCUGUUGUUGGGCAUCCUUGUGUAUGCACUGAAAUGAGCUUGUAUUUGUAUGCACUGAAAUGAAAUGAGCUUCUUUCUACCAGAA
Molecule: long non-coding RNA, 822 nt
Filed under: Setaria italica (foxtail millet)
Lineage: Eukaryota; Viridiplantae; Streptophyta; Magnoliopsida; Poales; Poaceae
Description: long non-coding RNA (SITA_LNC004935)
Source: RNAcentral